CCUACGGGAGGCAGCAGUAGGGAAUAUUGCACAAUGGGGGAAACCCUGAUGCAGCAACGCCGCGUGAGUGAAGAAGGCCCUUGGGUUGUAAAGCUCUUUAGCGAGGAAAGAAGCUUCGCCGAACUAAUACUUCGGCGGGGUGACGGUACCUCGAGAAUAAGCACCGGCUAAUUUCGUGCCAGCAGCCGCGGUAAUACGAAAGGUGCAAGCGUUACUCGGAAUUACUGGGCGUAAAGCGCACGUAGGCGGAUUCGUAUGUCAAUUGUGAAAGCCCUGGGCUCAACCCGGGAAUUGCAGUUGAAACUGCGUUUCUUGAAUACCUGAGAGGGUGGGGGAAUACCUAGUGGAGAAGUGAAAUUCGUAGAGAUUAGGUGGAACACCGGAGGCGAAGGCGCCUGCCUGGCAGUGUAUUGACGCUGAGGUGCGAAAGUGUGGGGAGCAAACAGGAUUAGAUACCCUUGUAGUC
RNAcentral lists this ribosomal RNA (466 nucleotides) under uncultured bacterium. RNAcentral describes it as "bacterial SSU rRNA". It matches the Rfam family "Bacterial small subunit ribosomal RNA", at positions 338 to 795 of the family's 1533-position model. The record is from RNAcentral.